RNAcentral lists this non-coding RNA (24 nucleotides) under Cricetulus griseus (Chinese hamster). The record is from RNAcentral. Lineage: Eukaryota; Metazoa; Chordata; Mammalia; Rodentia; Cricetidae.
AGGAAAAGAAGGAAGAACAGGUCA